Long non-coding RNA from Pomacea canaliculata, 2824 nucleotides. RefSeq lists it as uncharacterized. The record is from RefSeq and is a predicted model, not a curated record. The transcript has 3 exons. NCBI's taxonomy places the organism in Eukaryota, Metazoa, Mollusca, Gastropoda, Architaenioglossa, Ampullariidae.
CUCUUUGUCACCGGACCGCCCGGUACAGGUAAAACUGUGGUGCUGCUGCUGAUGGCCAUACAGUGGCUGCGGUGUGGUCACCACGUCUACAUUGUCAGCAGUUGGCCGGCAAGUCGUGCAGCGUGCAGCAUGUUGUAUCACCUGUUGCUGCAGACAGUAAAGACACAACAGUCAGCAGGUGUGUCACCCGGUCAGCCUCACCUCUUACAGUACCAUCUUGAUCACAUUAAAGAGCUGCAGAGGGCCACCAACGAUCUGUUACAGGCUGUGAAGGGAGGGUCGUUGUAUGUCAUCGCUGAUGAUGCAGCGAGUUAUUAUCACACUGGUAACGUCAACUACUUCUACCGUUUAUGUCAUGCGCUGUUGAAACAAGUUCCUGGACUCCAUCUUUGGGCGACAAGUUGUUUAUUUGGAACUUUUCCCAACGGUUGGGAAAUCGAGAAUUUAACCAGACCUCUCCGCUGUCCACCGGCCGUCAUCAGGGAAGUGGAACAGGACGAGCUGAUCACUAAACAUCGUCAUAUAGCACCAUACAGUUAGCACAGUGUGCACGACCACCCAGACAACCCUCCAGUCACGCGACUGUAUCACCGAGGUCAGGGUCACUCGGGUCAAUGGCCAGAUGAGUGUGUCACGUGCGGUCGUCAGGUGGCCAGCUUCCUACACAGUCUCCGUGUUGGUGUUACAGGGACUGGCACAACAACAUCUGCAACAGCACCACCCUGUCUACAGUGGAGAGACGUGCUGGUGUUGUACUGCGCUGACGUUAGAGACAACUCGGGUAUGGUGGAGGGACUGGAACAAGCGGUAUCCCAGUGCGGUGAUGAAGAUGACGACAUCGAUGACGUGCCACGGCCCGCAGUGACGUGGUGUGGGGUGACGAGUGGACAACGUGUCCGUGGUCUGGAGAGAAAAGUCGUUGUCAGUCUGAAGGAUUCUGUUUAUGUCUCUCAGCAUUGGUCUGAGAUACUGUUCGACCCUCUGUCUGCCCAACUUUACUCCAUGUCUCUCUGUACGUCACAGCUUGUGAUCGUCUCCCCUGGCGACUAGUCACCUGGACGUGACGAACACUCACUCGUGUUAUACUGGGCAGACGUAGGACGCCAAUACAUUUACAAAGAUUACGACUUCCGGUCCGUGUCUCUGUUGACUCAACAACUAGUGUCACAACGAAAAGUUGAGACGAAGUUUAUUUUCUAAAUAUUUAUUGAGAACAAUAUGAUUUGGAAUCUUGCUGAUGGCCUAAUGAACAAUGAGUUUGUAUAUAUAUAUUAUUAAUCACACGACUUCAGACAAAGUCGUAAUAGAGCACAGUUGGCCGUGUGACGGUUUGCGUAGGUUGUGGUGAUAGACACAAUACCAUCAAACUCACCCUAUCCAUCCCAACUGUUAGAUGCUGCCAGAAGCCAUCUUCAUCCUAGAUAAAAGGCGUAGGUCUGUCAUGUUAACUAGCUUCCUUCCUAAGAGGCUCACAUGUGAGUUUAUUCAUGAUUAGUAAUGUUGUUUAUUCUUUCUUAGUUCAUAUGUUAUUCGUUUGUUUUCCUGUCCCUCGUAUGCUGUCCGCGCUUCGUUCUUGUUCAUAUGUUCUUAGACGCUAAGGAGUGUAAGUAAAGACACACAUACAUAUAUACUGUAUACUUUUUUUGGACCCAAAUGUUUAUAUUAGGUCAGUUAGUCCUCAAGAUAUACCAUAGGCAGUGAAUUACACGAUUCACACCACAAGAAUACACGGUGAAUGUUGCAUUAUUUAUGUUGUGUUCUCCGCAUCAACUAAGCAACUAAGGACUGCUCUGUUCAAUACCAAUACUUUAUUUGAUGCCGCCUUUGCACAAUCAGUACAAAGGUCACCACAAGGCUGUAUUGAAUCUGAAUGUUCUGUAUUAUCAUCGGAUUACGCGCUCUUGCGGUAGUUUCUGCAUAAGGUCCAUGGUCAGCAGCAAUGCAGGUCAUAGGUCAACGCCAUUGGCUCUGCUUCUUCGACUUGUUAUCGCGCGUCAUAACAGCUGCUAUCAAGACGCCUGCGAGAGCAGCUGUGGCACCAAUGGCACCAAUGGCAGCUGUCUUCACCCAAAAGUCCACCUGGUCACUGCUGGCCUCUCCAUAGCGACACCAGGUGGCGAAGUGCUCGCAGUUCUUCCUGAGGACAUUGUAGCCAACCUCGUUCAGUCUAGUCCAGGCUUUCUGUACGAUAUCUCGGGGAGACCGUGGGCUGCGAAAAGACAUUUUUAUUAUUUGAUUAAAUUUAUGUUAAUAUGCAAUGGGAUUAUUUUGUUAGUUUUCUUGUUUGUUUUCUUGUUCGUUUAGUUGUUUUGUUUUUUCUUCGUCAAGUUAAUCCAUCAGCGAAUCUGUAUUUAAUAGAUCGUCGCUCUUUAAAGUUCAAACAAAUGGAAAAAAACUGAGAGGUUCAGAAGUUAAUUCUUUAACAACUUUCUAUUUUACUAUAUUUCAGACUCAAACAGCAUACUUCAUUGAGAAAAAUACGGGGUCUGUGAGACCUAGAGGCAGAAGUUAAUAAUUGUGAACUCCGUGAACAUAAUGAGAUGUGGUCUAACUUUUAAAAUGUCUGCAAAAAUAUAUAAAAUAGUAAUACCAUACAAUGCAAUCGUAAAAGAAGAUAACAGCUGAUGUGUUGAAAAAAAUUGAUGAUUGCUAGUAUGUUAUAAGAAAGUAUAAGAGGCUGCACACCUGUCAAGGUUCCGAAGGAGGAAGUUUUAAAAAGGUCACGAUGAGAAAAUAUAGAAUUAUGCAGGUUAAGAGAUUAAGUUGAUUAUUUGAAUAUUUGUUCUUCAUAAAUAGCAAUAGACGCAAGAAAACGCAAGUAUAA